GGCGAACGCUGGCGGCGUGCCUAAUACAUGCAAGUAGAACGCUGAAGGAGGAGCUUGCUCUUCUGGAUGAGUUGCGAACGGGUGAGUAACGCGUAGGUAACCUGCCUGGUAGCGGGGGAUAACUAUUGGAAACGAUAGCUAAUACCGCAUAACAGUAGAUGUUGCAUGACAUUUGCUUAAAAGGUGCAAUUGCACCACUACCAGAUGGACCUGCGUUGUAUUAGCUAGUUGGUGGGGUAACGGCUCACCAAGGCGACGAUACAUAGCCGACCUGAGAGGGUGAUCGGCCACACUGGGACUGAGACACGGCCCAGACUCCUACGGGAGGCAGCAGUAGGGAAUCUUCGGCAAUGGACGGAAGUCUGACCGAGCAACGCCGCGUGAGUGAAGAAGGUUUUCGGAUCGUAAAGCUCUGUUGUAAGAGAAGAACGAGUGUGAGAGUGGAAAGUUCACACUGUGACGGUAUCUUACCAGAAAGGGACGGCUAACUACGUG
This 495-nucleotide ribosomal RNA is filed under the name uncultured bacterium. RNAcentral's name for it is "partial 16S ribosomal RNA". It matches the Rfam family "Bacterial small subunit ribosomal RNA", at positions 28 to 507 of the family's 1533-position model. The record is from RNAcentral.